Molecule: ribosomal RNA, 382 nt
Filed under: Baniassa fenestrata
Lineage: Eukaryota; Metazoa; Arthropoda; Insecta; Diptera; Rhinophoridae
Description: partial 16S ribosomal RNA
Source: RNAcentral
UCGAAGGUAGCAUAAUCAGUAGUCUUUUAAUUGAAGGCUGGUAUGAAUGGUUGGACGAAAUAUUAACUGUUUCAUAAUAAAUUGUAAUAAAAUUUUAUUUUUUAGUUAAAAAGCUAAAAUUUUUUUAAAAGACGAGAAGACCCUAUAAAUCUUUAUAUUUAUGUUAUUAUAAUUUAAUAGAUUUUUUUGAUUUUAAUGAUUUAUAAUAUUUUAUUGGGGUGAUAUUAAAAUUUAAUUAACUUUUAAUUAUUAAAUUCAUUAAUUUAUGAGUAAUUGAUCCAUUAUUAGUGAUUAAUAAAUUAAGUUACUUUAGGGAUAACAGCGUAAUUUUUUUGGAGAGUUCAUAUUGAUAAAAAAGAUUGCGACCUCGAUGUUGGAUUAA